GACGAACGCUGGCGGCGUGCUUAACACAUGCAAGUCGAACGGAAAGGCCCUGCUUUUGUGGGGUGCUCGAGUGGCGAACGGGUGAGUAACACGUGAGUAACCUGCCCUUGACUUUGGGAUAACUUCAGGAAACUGGGGCUAAUACCGGAUAUGAGCUCCUGCUGCAUGGUGGGGGUUGGAAAGUUUCGGCGGUUGGGGAUGGACUCGCGGCUUAUCAGCUUGUUGGUGGGGUAGUGGCUUACCAAGGCUUUGACGGGUAGCCGGCCUGAGAGGGUGACCGGCCACAUGGGGAAUGAGAUACGGCCCAGACUCCUACGGGAGGAAGCAGUGGGGAAUAUUGCACAAUGGGCGGAAGCCUGAUGCAGCAACGCCGAGUGCGGGAUGACGGCCUUCGGGUUGUAAACCGCUUUCGCCUGUGACGAAGCGUGAGUGACGGUAAUGGGUAAAGAAGCACCGGCUAACUACGUG
Molecule: ribosomal RNA, 468 nt
Filed under: uncultured bacterium
Lineage: Bacteria
Description: partial 16S ribosomal RNA
Rfam family: Bacterial small subunit ribosomal RNA
Source: RNAcentral